UACAGAGGGGGCAAGCGUUGUUCGGAAUUACUGGGCGUAAAGGGCGCGUAGGCGGCCUUCUAAGUCGAACGUGAAAUCCCCGGGCUCAACCCGGGAACUGCGUCCGAUACUGGAAGGCUUGAAUCCGGGAGAGGGAUGCGGAAUUCCAGGUGUAGCGGUGAAAUGCGUAGAUAUCCGGAGGAACACCGGUGGCGAAGGCGGCUUCCUGGACCGACACUGACGCUGAGGCGCGAAAGCUAGGGGAGCGAACGGG
Molecule: ribosomal RNA, 253 nt
Filed under: uncultured bacterium
Lineage: Bacteria
Description: partial 16S ribosomal RNA
Rfam family: Bacterial small subunit ribosomal RNA
Source: RNAcentral